AGCUGAGUAGCCGCGUGCGGAUGUGAUAAACGCUGAAGGCAUCUAAGCAUGAAGCACACCUCAAGAUUAGAUAUCCCAUCUCUUUAAGAGAGUAAGGUCACUUGUAGACUACGAGUUUGUUAGGUCGCGUGUGUAAGCGCAGUAAUGCGUUUAGCUAAGCGAUACUAAUUGACCGAGGGCUUGAACUA
RNAcentral lists this ribosomal RNA (188 nucleotides) under Clostridia bacterium. RNAcentral describes it as "partial 23S ribosomal RNA". It matches the Rfam family "Bacterial large subunit ribosomal RNA", at positions 2739 to 2925 of the family's 2925-position model. Lineage: Bacteria; Bacillati; Bacillota; Clostridia. The record is from RNAcentral.